Molecule: ribosomal RNA, 494 nt
Filed under: uncultured bacterium
Lineage: Bacteria
Description: partial 16S ribosomal RNA
Rfam family: Bacterial small subunit ribosomal RNA
Source: RNAcentral
GACGAACGCUGGCGGCGUGCUUAACACAUGCAAGUCGAACGGAAAGGCCUGCUUUCCCUUGUGGAUUGCGGGUGCUCGAGUGGCGAACGGGUGAGUAACACGUGAGUGAUCUGCCCCCAACUUGGGUAUAAGCCUGGGAAACUGGGUCUAAUUCCCGAUAGGACUGCAGGGUGGUGCCUGUGGUGGAAAACGAUUUUCUAGUGGUUGGGGAUGAGCUCGCGGCCUAUCAGCUUGUUGGUGGGGUAAUGGCCUACCAAGGCGGCGACGGGUAGCCGGCCUGAGAGGGUGGACGGCCACAGUGGGACUGAGAUACGGCCCAGACUCCUACGGGAGGCAGCAGUGGGGAAUAUUGCACAAUGGGCGGAAGCCUGAUGCAGCGACGCCGAGUGGGGGAUGACGGCCUUCGGGUUGUAAACUCCUUUCGACCGCGAGGAAGCCACCUGGUUGGAAGGGUGGUGACGGUAGUGGUAGAAGAAGCACCGGCUAACUACGUG